This 589-nucleotide ribosomal RNA is filed under the name uncultured Pseudozyma. Its description in RNAcentral is "eukaryotic LSU rRNA". It matches the Rfam family "Eukaryotic large subunit ribosomal RNA", at positions 81 to 653 of the family's 3401-position model. The record is from RNAcentral. Lineage: Eukaryota; Fungi; Basidiomycota; Ustilaginomycetes; Ustilaginales; Ustilaginaceae.
UAGUACGGCGAGUGAGAGGGAAGAGCCCAAGAUUGAAAGCUGGCGCCUUCGGCGUCCGCAUUGUAAUCUCAAGAAGUGUUUUCCGCUUCGGACCAUGCCUAAGUCCCUUGGAAAAGGGCAUCAUAGAGGGUGAUAAUCCCGUACAUGGCAUGGAGCGCCCGAAGCUUUGUGAUACGCUUUCUAAGAGUCGAGUUGUUUGGGAAUGCAGCUCAAAAUGGGUGGUAAAUGCCAUCUAAGGCUAAAUAUUGGGGAGAGACCGAUAGCGAACAAGUACAGUGAUGGAAAGAUGAAAAGAACUUUGAAAAGAGAGUUAAACAGUACGUGAAAUUGCCAAAAGGGAAGGGUAGGAGGUCAGAGAUGCGUCGCAGGAUUCAGCCUUGCUUUUGCUUGGUGUUUUUCCUGCGUUGCAGGCCAACGUCGGUUUUGGGCACUGGAGAAGGGUAGGAGGAACGUGGCACCUCUCGGGGUGUGUUAUAGCCUCCUACUGGAUACAGCGACCGAGACCGAGGAACGCAGCGUACUCGUAAGAGCGGGCCUUUUGGCACCUUUACGCUUAGGGCGUUGGCAUAAUGGCCCUCUACCACCCGUC